Molecule: microRNA precursor, 172 nt
Filed under: Eucalyptus grandis
Lineage: Eukaryota; Viridiplantae; Streptophyta; Magnoliopsida; Myrtales; Myrtaceae
Description: MIR394 microRNA precursor family
Rfam family: MIR394 microRNA precursor family
Source: Rfam by way of RNAcentral
CUUACAGAGUUUAUUGGCAUUCUGUCCACCUCCUCCUCCUACAUCGAACGGGGAAAAAAGGACAAACGAUGGAGAAAGAGCCCCGUUGUUUUUAAAGGGGAAAAAGAGAAAUUCUCCCAUGUUUUCGCUUGUUUUGAAGGAGGUGGGCAUACUGCCAAGUGAGCUCUGUUGG